AGCCUGCCCAGUGACUAAGUUAAACGGCCGCGGUACCCUAACCGUGCAAAGGUAGCGCAAUCACUUGUUCUUUAAAUGAGGACUAGUAUGAACGGCAUCACGAGGGUUAUACUGUCUCCCUAUUCCAAUCAGUGAAACUGAUCUUCCCGUGAAGAAGCGGGAAUAAAUAUAUAAGACGAGAAGACCCCAUGGAGCUUUAAACUCAGUACCACCUGCUAUUUUCAAACCCUAUUAAUCACGCAGAAAUGGUAACUAGUUUUCGGUUGGGGUGACCGCGGAGCAAAACAAAACCUCCACAACGAAAGGAACUAACAACCUAAUCCAAGAGCAACAUCUCUAAGAAUUAAAAAAUUAACUUAAUUGAUCCAAUUACUUGAUCAACGAACCAAGUUACCCUGGGGAUAACAGCGCAAUCCAUUUAAAGAGCUCUUAUCGACAAAUGGGUUUACGACCUCGAUGUUGGAUCAGGGUAUCCCAGUGGCGCAGCAGCUACUAAAGGUUCGUUUGUUCAACGAUUAAA
Molecule: ribosomal RNA, 520 nt
Filed under: Microhyla ornata (ornate rice frog)
Lineage: Eukaryota; Metazoa; Chordata; Amphibia; Anura; Microhylidae
Description: partial 16S ribosomal RNA
Rfam family: Bacterial large subunit ribosomal RNA
Source: RNAcentral